RNAcentral lists this long non-coding RNA (1031 nucleotides) under Homo sapiens (human). RNAcentral's name for it is "non-protein coding lnc-WASL-1:1". The record is from RNAcentral. Lineage: Eukaryota; Metazoa; Chordata; Mammalia; Primates; Hominidae.
UGUUUUUACUUAGACAUAAGUAUUUCAUAAGUCUACAAUCAACUUGUCUGACAGAAAAUUAAGAAUAUAUUAAUUUUCUGAAUAAUUUUGAUCAACAGCUGCACUGUCAAUUUAAAGACCGGGAGUUCUUCCAAGGACCACAAGGACAAACAAUGCUUCAAAUCCAACUUCCUGGCUUUAUUAUUGAUGAGAGAGAGGGAGAUCCUAACUUGGUUGCAUGUAUUUCAACCUUACCGGAAAAGAGGCAGGAAAAUAAAAUGUGGAUCUCGUAUUUGUGAAACAAAUACAAGAAACAAAUGAAAAGGCAUUAUCAUGUCCGGUUAACUAUGGGAAAACAAAGCUGUUUAUGUCUCAGUUCUAUAGUUGUGUUAAAGGAUCUCAAAAGAUAGAAACUGCAUGAUGUUGAACAGACAACUAGAAGAAACAACAGGUUUCAGAGAAUUAUGGCAUUGCUUCUCAGUCUUCAGUUACUACUUCAAAGCAUUGCUUUACUUUUUCUCUGAAUAUUAUGGUAAUAACCUUCAUUCUUCUUACAACUCGGAGAAAUUAUCCAAUGCAAUUUUGUUUUAUAGUUUCUGCCAUUCCCUCCUUCUGUCUCCCGUUACAGCAAUGAAUACUAGUUUUCAGGUGCAGGUAUUAAGAGGGCAAUGGGGGGGAUAUAAAAUGCACAGAGGAGGAUUUGCUUUCUCAUAUAUGGGUUCUGUAACUUGUAAGUGAGUAGAUAUUGGAGGAUGGGUGCACAGUGAAACUUUCAUGGACUUCUUGUUAGUAGUAACAAGAACACCUUCAAAUAUUCAUCCUACUUUGCAGUGGCAAUAUGUGUAUCAGUCCAUAGUGAUAUUUUUCUAAAAUACAGUUUCCAGAGGGCACAGUUGAGCCACUUAGUUUGCAUUUCCCAGUGUAGACUGCUCUCUGACUUCCUGAGGGUGGCAUCUUCUGGCCCUGUCUCCUUUCUACAGAAGUGAUGGUAUGUGGGCUCUCACCUAGUUUCAAACUGGACUACUUUUUCAUGACGGUGAUGAAGCCAUUUA